GUCCUAGCCCUAAACGAUGGGUACUAGGUAGUGGACUAGACAUGGGUUCACUGCCGAAGCAAAAGUGUUAAGUACCCCGCCUGGGGAGUAUGGUCGCAAGGCUGAAACUCAAAGGAAUUGACGGGGGCUCACACAAGCGGUGGAGCAUGUGGCUUAAUUCGAGGCUACGCGAAGAACCUUAUCCUAGGCUUGACAUGUGCGAAAGCGCCGGGAAGUAGGCUGCGGAAACGUUAGCCGAACGGUAUCCAGUCCGGAACUCGGUACAGGUGCUGCAUGGCUGUCGU
RNAcentral lists this ribosomal RNA (284 nucleotides) under uncultured bacterium. RNAcentral describes it as "partial 16S ribosomal RNA". It matches the Rfam family "Bacterial small subunit ribosomal RNA", at positions 793 to 1055 of the family's 1533-position model. The record is from RNAcentral.